CCCUUUUUGGGGUGCCCUCAUUGGGGUCACCACUUUGCACGCUUAUGGUGAAGGACUCACGCAUUGCACGGCACACGUGUGCAACGCGGGUGUGAAAUGAAGGUCUUGUGCAGGGCACUUGUGCAACGAGGCACUUGUGCAACGCACGGGGCCGUGCAAGGAAGCACUUGUGCAAUGCACGAUGCUGCUUUGCACGGAGGCUCUUGUGCAUUGCACGGCGCUGCAUGCUGCAUACGGACGUGCAACAACACGCUUGUGCAACACGUAGCGCCGUGCAACGCACACUCAUUUGCACUGCGUGCUUUGCACGGCGGCCCUCUUUGCACGGCAGCCCCCGUGCAAUGCACGCUGGAGGACUUUUGCAGCGUGCAAUGGUGUGCAAUGCAGCAGCUGUUGCACGGCAGCCCUCGUGCAAGGCAUGGGGUGGGGGUGUGCAACGCCCCUCCGUGUGCAACAUCCCCUCGUGCAACGCCGUGUGGCCAUCGUGAGCUCCGGGUGGGCGUGCAAGAGGUGGACGUGGAAGGAAGCCCGGAUCCUCGUGCGACGGCGUCCCCUUGUGCAACGAACGGUGGCUCCAGUGCAAUGGUGGCCUCGUGCAACGAUGGUCCUUGUGCAACACCAGAUCUUGUGCGACGUGGGAGCUCGUGCAACACCUGACCUCGUGCACAUGGGGCCUCGUGCAACAUGGAGCCUUGUGCAACGCCAGAUCUUGUGCAACAUGGGGCCUCAUGCAUCAGUGGUCCUUGUGCAACACGGGGCCUCGUGCAACAUGGAGCCUCGUGCAACGUGGGGCCUUGUGCAAUGCUGGUCUCUGGGCAACAUGGGGCCUCGUGCAACGCCAGUACUUGUGCAACAUGGGGCCUUGUGCCACAUGGAGCCUCGUGCAACGACAGAUCUUGAGCGACGUGGGGCCUCGUGCAACAGCAGAUCACAUGCAACGCAGGGCCUCGUGCAGCACCGGUCCUUGUGCAACGCAGAGUCACGUGCAACGCCAGAUCUCGUGCAACAGGGAGCCUCAUGCAUCACCGUUCCUAGUGCAACACGGGGCCUCGUGCAACAACAGAUCUUGAGCGACAUGGGGCCUCGUGCAACACCAGAUCUCGUGCAACAGGGAGCCUCCUGCAUCACCAUUCCUAGUGCAACACGGGGCUUCGUGCAACAUGGAGCCUCGUGCAAUGCUGGUCUUUGUGCAACGCGCGGCCUCGUGCAACAUAGGGCCUCGUGCAACAACAGAUCUUGAGCGACAUGGGGCCUCAUGCAACACCAGAUCUCGUGCAACGUGGGCCUUGUGCAACACCGGUCCUUGUGCAAGGCACGACCUUGUGCAGCACCAAACCUCGUGCAACAUGGAGCCUCGUGCAACACCAGACGUUGUGCAUCGCUGGGCCUCGUGCAACACCAGACCUUGUGCAAGGCAGGACCUCGUGCAGCACCAAACCUUGUGCAAUGGGGGGCCUUGUGCAACACCAGUGCUCGUGCAACGUGGGCCUUGUGCAACACCGGUCCUUGUGCAAGGCAGGACCUCCUGCAGCACCAAACCUCGUGCAACGGGGGGCCUUGUGCAACACCAGACCUUGUGCAACGCGGGGCCUCGUGCAACACACCCUCGUGCAGCUGCAAAACGUGUGAGAGGCACAAACACUCCGCGGCUCCGUGCAACACGGGGCCUUGUGCAACGGACACGUGCAACGUGCAGCUGCCCUCACACUCGGACUCGUGCUCGGGCCUCGUGCGCCUCGGACUUGUGCACGCCGUGCAACGGACUUGUGAGGUGCGGGGCCUCGUGCAAGAACUUCGUGUGAUGCAGGGCCUUUUGCAACUGUAUUGUGCAACACAGGGACUUGUGCAACGCUAUGGUGCACGCGGGGUCUUGUGCAACGCUAUGGUGCAACAGGGGGUCUUGUGCAAGGCAAUGGUGCAACAACACUGGGCCUUGUGCAGCUGUAUUGUGCAACACAGGGUCUUGUGCAAGACAAUGGUGCAAUGCUGGGCCUUGUGCAACUGUAUCAUGCAACGCGGGGUCUUGUGCAAGGCAAUGGUGCAACAUGAGGUCCUGUGCAAGGCAAUGGUGCAACGCUGGACCUUGUGCAACACUAAGGUGCAACAUGGGGUCUUGUGCAACUGUAUUGUGCAACACAGGGUCUUGUGCAAGGCAGUGGUGCAACAGGGGGUCUUGUGCACGGCAAUGGUGCAGCAGUGGGCCUUGUGCACCUGGAUUGUGCAACACAGGGCCUUGUGCAACACUGGAGUGCCACAUGGGAUCGUGUGCAACGCAGUGGUGCACCCUCAUAGUGCAAAGCAGAUCCUUGUGCAACACCCCCAUGAAAGACCAGGCCUUGCACGGUGUCCUCGUGCAACAGCAGGUGGAUACACGGGGCCUCGUGCAAAGGCCUCGUGCAGCGACGUGCGGUGAAAGGCGCCCUCGUGCAAUGCCCUCGUGCAACACGGGGGCUCUUGUGCAAAGGCAUUGUGCAAAGGUGGGUCUUGUGCGACGCCAUCGUGCAAUGGUGCGGUUACAGAGUGCCUCGUGCAACCCUGCGGUGCAAAAUGCACGCUUGUGCAAAGGCCUCGUGCAACGGGCUGGCCUCUUGGAGAGGCUUCGUGCAACACCGGGCCUUGUGCAAUGCUCCUUGUGCAAUGGUGCGGUGGUGCAGGAGGCCUCGUGCAACACUACAGGGUAUUCGUGCAAAGGCCUCGUGCAGCAGCCGACUGUGGGAUCUGCCUCGUGCAAAGGCCUUGUGCAACGGCUUGUGCAACACUACAGAGGAAGCGGAGCUCUUGUGCAAGGCUCUCGUGCAACAGCGUGAAGCACACGUGAUGCAGCUGCAAGGAGUGGAUCCUUGUGCAACAGGAUGUGCUAGUGCAAGGGCUGGGUCAUCGUGCAACGGCCUGCUGCACCAGCCCUUGUGCAAGAGAUGGGCCCUUGUGCAACAGACCCGUGCAACAUCCCUGUGCAAGAGGUGACCCCUUGUGCAACACACUUGUGCACCACACCAUACCUGUGCAAGAGGCGGCCCUUUGUGCAAUGGACUUGUGCACCACUGCUUGUGCAAGAGGGCACGCUUGUGCACAGCUGCUUGUGCAAGAGGACUCCCAAUGUGCAACAGCCUUGCACUACACUCGUGCACCACCCCUCGUGCAACACUCUUACACACCACCCCUUGCACAACACCCCGUGUGCACCACCCCUCGUGCAAGAGGAGCCCCCUCGUGCAAAUGCCUUGCACACCACCCCUUGUGCAACGCCCUUGCACACCACCCCU
This 3263-nucleotide long non-coding RNA is filed under the name Gallus gallus (chicken). The record is from RNAcentral. Lineage: Eukaryota; Metazoa; Chordata; Aves; Galliformes; Phasianidae.